GCAACGGUAACGCAGCGCCGGAGUCCUGCAUUUACAAAAGUGCCUUCGAAACGCAUGAAACGCGCUAGCCCCAGCUACAGCCCUGCAGGCGUGGCAAGCACUUUGCGCGCUAGCGAACAGCUUGGUCUUGCUUUAUUUUAUAUAACGAUUAUGUCGUUCCCCUAGGGUUGCAACCCGAGAACUCCUAUUACAGAGCCGCCCAACUCUCAAUCCAACUCCGUGACAACAGUCAACGGCAUUAACUACCAAUCAAGGAGGCCAUGGAAAGAGCGGGGAACAUGAUUCUCCUAGCUUUC
This 296-nucleotide long non-coding RNA is filed under the name Volvox carteri. RNAcentral describes it as "long non-coding RNA (VCAR_LNC002725)". Lineage: Eukaryota; Viridiplantae; Chlorophyta; Chlorophyceae; Chlamydomonadales; Volvocaceae. The record is from RNAcentral.